This 253-nucleotide ribosomal RNA is filed under the name uncultured bacterium. RNAcentral's name for it is "partial 16S ribosomal RNA". It matches the Rfam family "Bacterial small subunit ribosomal RNA", at positions 524 to 776 of the family's 1533-position model. The record is from RNAcentral.
UACGGAGGGUGCGAGCGUUGUCCGGAAUCACUGGGCGUAAAGGGCGCGUAGGCGGCACGGGAAGUCCGUGGUGAAAGCCCGAGGCUCAACUUCGGGUCGGCCAUGGAUACUCCUGGGCUUGAGCACUGUAGAGGCAGGUGGAAUUCCGGGUGUAGCGGUGGAAUGCGUAGAGAUCCGGAAGAACACCGGUGGCGAAGGCGGCCUGCUGGGCAGUAGCUGACGCUGAGGCGCGACAGCGUGGGGAGCAAACAGG